UGGGGAAUUUUGGACAAUGGGCGAAAGCCUGAUCCAGCAAUGCCGCGUGCGUGAAGAAGGCCUUCGGGUUGUAAAGCACUUUUGUCCGGAAAGAAAUCCUUGGCUCUAAUACAGUCGGGGGAUGACGGUACCGGAAGAAUAAGCACCGGCUAACUACGUGCCAGCAGCCGCGGUAAUACGUAGGGUGCAAGCGUUAAUCGGAAUUACUGGGCGUAAAGCGUGCGCAGGCGGUUUGCUAAGACCGAUGUGAAAUCCCCGGGCUCAACCUGGGAACUGCAUUGGUGACUGGCAGGCUAGAGUAUGGCAGAGGGGGGUAGAAUUCCACGUGUAGCAGUGAAAUGCGUAGAGAUGUGGAGGAAUACCGAUGGCGAAGGCAGCCCCCUGGGCCAAUACUGACGCUCAUGCACGAAAGCGUGGGGGGCAAACAGGAUUAGAUACCCUGGUAGUCCACGCCCUAAACGAUGUCAACUAGUUGUUGGGGAUUCAUUUCCUUAGUAACGUAGCUAACGCGUGAAGUUGACCGCCUGGGGAGUACGGUCGCAAGAUUAAAACUCAAAGGAAUUGACGGGGUCAUAGCUGUUUCCU
RNAcentral lists this ribosomal RNA (585 nucleotides) under uncultured bacterium. RNAcentral describes it as "partial 16S ribosomal RNA". It matches the Rfam family "Bacterial small subunit ribosomal RNA", at positions 355 to 1375 of the family's 1533-position model. The record is from RNAcentral.